AUGCCUUCUGAAUUGAGGCUUGCUUACUCUCUAUCUCUAACCCUGCACCUCUCAUUCUCUCUCUAUAUAACUCCCUAUAUAAAUCUCCCUCCAUUUCUAUAACGUAUUUUCUCCAUUUUUCUUAUACACAAUCGGAAAAAAUGGCUACCGAAGGUUCCAAGCCCAGCGUUUACCUUCAAGACAUGGAAGAAGUGAAAAAAGUAUUUGCACGCUUCGACGCCAACGGCGACGGAAUGAUCUCCGGCGAUGAACUUUCCGGCGUACUCAAAGCCCUAGGAUCCGACACUUCGCCGGAGGAAGUUGCACGUAUGAUGGCAGAAAUCGAUACCGACAAGGACGGUUGCAUUAACAUAGAUGAAUUUGCAGAUUUUUGCAAAAACGACGAUUCCGUCGACGGCGGCGCUAAGGAACUGAAGGAGGCGUUUGAUCUUUACGAUCAGGACCAUAACGGAAGGAUUUCUGCUACGGAGCUUCAUCAGAUCCUGAACCGUUUGGGCCAGAAUUGUACAAUUCAGGAUUGUACCAGAAUGAUCACGUCCGUUGAUGCCAACGGUGACGGCUACGUUUGCUUUGAAGAGUUUAAGAAGAUGAUGGGUAAUAAAUAAACCAUUUUCUCUUUGUUGUAACUUUUUCAGUUAUUUGAGCGGCUGAUAACGGUGAGGUACCGGAUAUUCGUGCGUCCUUCUGUAGUGUAUAACUUUGUGGUCUAAUAAAUAGCAAGACCUUAGCUUUCGAUCGGCUUU
This is an RNA transcript of Solanum verrucosum, 743 nucleotides long. NCBI's taxonomy places the organism in Eukaryota, Viridiplantae, Streptophyta, Magnoliopsida, Solanales, Solanaceae. The record is from RefSeq and is a predicted model, not a curated record.